UACAGAGGGGGCAAGCGUUGUCCGGAAUUAUUGGGCGUAAAGAGCUCGUAGGCGGCCAGUUGCGUCUGCUGUGAAAUCCCGGGGCUCAACCCCGGGCGUGCAGUGGAUACGGGCUGGCUAGAGGCAGGCAGGGGAGAACGGAAUUCCCGGUGUAGCGGUGAAAUGCGCAGAUAUCGGGAGGAACACCGGUGGCGAAGGCGGUUCUCUGGGCCUGUACUGACGCUGAGGAGCGAAAGCGUGGGGAGCGAACAGG
RNAcentral lists this ribosomal RNA (253 nucleotides) under uncultured bacterium. Its description in RNAcentral is "partial 16S ribosomal RNA". It matches the Rfam family "Bacterial small subunit ribosomal RNA", at positions 524 to 776 of the family's 1533-position model. The record is from RNAcentral.